Molecule: long non-coding RNA, 957 nt
Organism: Oenanthe melanoleuca
Lineage: Eukaryota; Metazoa; Chordata; Aves; Passeriformes; Muscicapidae
Exons: 4
Source: RefSeq, a predicted model, not a curated record
CUUUGAGUGUGCCAGUAGUUUUUGAAAGGUAUUCAUUAAACAAAGCAACUGCAGCAACUGCAGAAACUGAUACCUCACAGUAGAUUUAGAAUCCAAACUAGCAAGAAAGAGGUGUCUUAUGGGUUUGAACAUGAACAAAAUUAAAGGAGCUAGGAAACACUCUGAAUAUCCAAUAUUAGCUCCUACUAAUUUUCUACAGUUUGGCAGUCAACCUCAAACCCUAGACAACAGACUAUGGCUGCAUCUUACAUAUCAGGAAUAAGGGGCAACUAUGUGAAGAGUUUGCAAACUUUGGACUCAGGCUGCAAAACACACUCUACAUUAUGAUAAUUUCCACCCCAGCACCAAUCUCCAAAAAUUUUGUGGCCUAAUUGUUUUAAUCUCCUCAUGCUCUGUGAACAGUACCUCCAGCCUCCAGUGCUGUUUCAAAGGCUUUACAGCUGGGACAACAUGCACAGCCAAAUUAAGAGAGAGGCUACGAGAAGCUGCUUGCAUUGCAACAGCAAGAGUUAUCUUUCAAGUUGCCAUCUAGACCAAUGACUUCUUUUAUUCUGCCACCAACACAUGGGUCUAUGCUUUCAAUAAUCUGCUCCAAAACCAUGAUUUCUAAGAUAUGCUAUAUAUCCAGGUGUCCCAGCAGAAACACAGAUGCAACUAGGACUGGCACCAGAUGAGAAUUAAAUAGCAAAAGGAAGUCUAAAACAGUGAAGCCAAAGACUGGCAUAGGGAGGAUGAUAGCUGUGAGCUGCUGCUGUUGAUAAGGGAUAUGGCAUAUGACCCUCUUGAGGAAUGAAUUCAAGAAUAUGAAGCCCAUCUGAGAGAAGCCUGUUUCCUUUGCACACAUAUGAGUGCAUAUGAGUCACAAAGCAGGCAGGGCAUUUCUGGACAUCUCUGCCUAAACAAAGAGAAGGGAGGUAGACCUAUCCCUAGAGACAAUACCGUGUCACAUACACAGAA